UACAGAGGUCUCAAGCGUUGUUCGGAUUCAUUGGGCGUAAAGGGUGUGUAGGUGGCGCCGUAAGUCGGGUGUGAAAUUUCGGAGCUUAACUCCGAAACUGCAUUCGAUACUGCGGUGCUUGAGGACUGGAGAGGAGACUGGAAUUCAUGGUGUAGCAGUGAAAUGCGUAGAGAUCGGGAGGAACACCAGUGGCGAAAGCGGCUCUCUGGUCCAAAACUGACGCUGAGGGGCGAAAGCGUGGGGAGCGAACGGG
This 253-nucleotide ribosomal RNA is filed under the name uncultured bacterium. Its description in RNAcentral is "partial 16S ribosomal RNA". It matches the Rfam family "Bacterial small subunit ribosomal RNA", at positions 524 to 776 of the family's 1533-position model. The record is from RNAcentral.